Molecule: long non-coding RNA, 1813 nt
Filed under: Olea europaea subsp. europaea
Lineage: Eukaryota; Viridiplantae; Streptophyta; Magnoliopsida; Lamiales; Oleaceae
Source: RNAcentral
CUCUCUCAUGGUUGUAUUAAGAAACUAAAUUCGAUCAAUAAGUCAGUUGUGUCAACCUCGACAUCCUUGUCACACUUUGAAAAUACAGACUAGAACGUCGAGAAAUAGAUUUGUAAAGGAAAAAAGGUCCAAGAUUGAUUGUCAAAAAAAAAAGGGAUGAAUCAAUGACAUGAUGCAAAAAUUUGGAAUUAUAGAUGGCACACAAAUGUUUUUUCUUAUCUCCCUUCUUGAUUUCAAAAUAGUGCAGCUCAUUUACUCUCUAUCAAGAAGCUCCUCAUUUUUUGAUCAAACAAAUAAUAUCUUUUCGAGGUCCAAGGUCAGAUUGUUGUGAAAUUUGGAUAGCAAGUGCACAACGCAUUGGGCUUCAAAUCUGCAUGUUUAAGAUCAAGAUCCGACAGCUCAUUCUUUAGUUAUAGCAAAUACAUUUCCAUUUUACUUUACUUUCUUGUCUUUACACAGAUUUGCAAGUACACCGUGUGAAAAAAAUUAUGCUUUUACUUUAUUCUGUAUUGUAGCUAAUUAUUGCACGUCCAGACUUCACCUAAUAAUGGGCACAUCAAUGUGUAGAAGUUCAAGAGCAUCCAUAAUGGAUCCACCAGAGAUCGUCAUUAUAGAAAUUCUGCUACAUCUGUGGAUUAAAGGGAUUGUAAUGUGCAAGUUGUGUGCAAAACUUGACAAAAUCUAAUUUCUAUCAUCACUUUGCACUUUCAAAAGCCAGCAUUAUAAUCUGACCCUCGGAUGUUAUACUAAUUUCAAGAAUGAUUUACUUUAUCGAGCCAUCUAUAAUCAAUAUGACUGAAUCUGAGCCACAAGUAAACAUGAAGCUUGAUACCAAAUUGAAGAUUCCUUUGCACAAUGUUGACACACAAGAGAUUACUUUCUAUGAGCAGGAAUACUAAGAGGAAGUGAUCCAUUAACCUGGAUACCAAGAAUGACAAGAUCGCUAUAGUGAAUUUGAGGAACUGCUUCCUUUGUUUGUUUGAGCCCCCAGCCCCUGUUAUAUGCAAUCUGGUUAUAAAUGAUUAUAUGGAUCUUCCAGCAGCCGAAAAUGCUGACGAGAGUAUGUUAACUUGUGGGUUUGGAUUUUCUCAACAGACUCCAGGUAAAAGUCAGCAUGAUAAAUCUCCAAUUGAAGGAACAACAUUCUAUCCUAAUAGGGUGGUUGAGAUACACACUCUUGGGCCUAAAUCAUUGAGAAACAUUUGAUUUUCUCCCAGCUUCAAUUGGAGAAACAUAUGUCUCCAACCUAUCUGAGUAGUGUCCUUCAAUGGAUCAGUGACCGAUGGAGUGGGAUGGAUCUUGUACUGUCAAAUUCAGAUCAUUCGCUAGAAUAUGCAUAGGAAUAAUUGGAGAUUGUCAAUGUUCAUCUGUUACCUCUAGUGUAGAUUUGAUUGACAUAUGGGUAUUGAAGAGUUGGGGUGUUCGAAAAUCAUGGUCAAAGUUGAUCUCUAUCAAUAUCCCUACACUGGGGAGGUGGAAUUCCUGCUAUUUCCAGCUGAUAAGCUGCUGCGAGAAAUUUUUUAUAUUCCUUGAGAACAAGAUAAUAUAUUAAUAUGAUCCUAACAGGGAAGAAUUGAAGACACUCAGACUUCAUAGGAUGGGAUUUAUUUCUGCAGCAGUAGUGCAUACUCCGAGUUUUUUCUCCCACAAGGAUGAGACUGGAGUUAAUAUUAAUUUGAUGUAACUAUGUAAGACCAUCUUCUUCUUAGCAUUACUUGAUUUACUAGCUAAUUUUAUCUGUAAAAGAUACUUUAGUGCUUUUGUGUUUACUAAUUAAGCAGGAAUAUAAAAUAUCUACAUUCUUAAUGAACAU